RNAcentral lists this unclassified non-coding RNA (352 nucleotides) under soil metagenome. Its description in RNAcentral is "partial contains 5.8S ribosomal RNA, internal transcribed spacer 2, and large subunit ribosomal RNA". The stretch from base 1 to 120 matches the Rfam family "5.8S ribosomal RNA", at positions 35 to 154 of the family's 154-position model. The record is from RNAcentral.
GAUGAAGAACGUAGCGAAAUGCGAUAAGUAAUGUGAAUUGCAGAAUUCAGUGAAUCAUCGAAUCUUUGAACGCACAUUGCGCCCGCCAGUAUUCUGGCGGGCAUGCCUGUUCGAGCGUCAUUACAACCCUCAGGCCCCCGGGCCUGGCGUUGGGGAUCGGCGGAGCCCCCCGUGGGCACACGCCGUCCCCCAAAUGCAGUGGCGGUCCCGCCGCAGCUUCCAUCGCGUAGUAGCUAACACCUCGCGACUGGAGAGCGGCGCGGCCACGCCGUAAAACACCCAACUCUUCUGAAGUUGACCUCGAAUCAGGAAGGAAUACCCGCUGAACUUAAGCAUAUCAAUAAGCGGAGGA